This 433-nucleotide ribosomal RNA is filed under the name uncultured bacterium. RNAcentral describes it as "partial 16S ribosomal RNA". It matches the Rfam family "Bacterial small subunit ribosomal RNA", at positions 29 to 507 of the family's 1533-position model. The record is from RNAcentral.
AACGAACGCUGGCGGCAUGCCUAACACAUGCCAGUCGAACGAGACCUUCGGGUCUAGUGGCGCACGGGUGCGUAACGCGUGGGAACCUGCCCUUAGGUUCGGAAUAACUCCCCGAAAGGGGUGCUAAUACCGGAUAAUGUCUUCGGACCAAAGAUUUAUCGCCUUUGGAUGGGCCCGCGUUGGAUUAGCUAGUUGGUAGGGUAAAAGCAUACCACGGCGACGAUCCAUAGCUGGUCUGAGAGGAUGAUCAGCCACACUGGGACUGAGACACGGCCCAGACUCCUACGGGAGGCGGCAGUGGGGAAUAUUGGACAAUGGGCGGAGGCCUGAUCCAGCAAUGCCGGGUGAGUGAUGAAGGCCUUAGGGUUGUAAAGCUCUUUUACCCGGGAUGAUAAUGACAGUACCGGGAGAAUAAGCUCCGGCUAACUCCGUG